AUUUUGGUGGCCGAGUUUAUUAGGCAGGAGAUUGUAAAUCUUCGUACGGGCCUCUACCCCCAAGGGU
RNAcentral lists this transfer RNA (67 nucleotides) under Leucophytia bidentata (two-toothed white snail). Its description in RNAcentral is "Auriculinella bidentata (two-toothed white snail) tRNA-Tyr". Lineage: Eukaryota; Metazoa; Mollusca; Gastropoda; Ellobiida; Ellobiidae. The record is from RNAcentral.